GACGAACGCUGGCGGCGUGCUUAACACAUGCAAGUCGAACGGAAAGGCCCUGCUUGCAGGGUACUCGAGUGGCGAACGGGUGAGUAACACGUGGGUGAUCUGCCCUGCACUUCGGGAUAAGCCUGGGAAACUGGGUCUAAUACCGGAUAGGAGCCAUUUUUAGUGUGAUGGUUGGAAAGUUUUUUCGGUGUAGGAUGAGCUCGCGGCCUAUCAGCUUGUUGGUGGGGUAAUGGCCUACCAAGGCGGCGACGGGUAGCCGGCCUGAGAGGGUGGACGGCCACAUUGGGACUGAGAUCCGGCCCAGACUCCGACGGGGGGCAGAAGUGGGGAAUAUUGCACAAUGGGCGCAAGCCUGAUGCAGCGACGCCGCGUGGGGGAUGACGGCCUUCGGGUUGGAAACUCCUUUCGCUAGGGACGAAGCUUUUUGUGACGGUACCUAGAUAAGAAGCACCGGCUAACUACGUG
Molecule: ribosomal RNA, 465 nt
Filed under: uncultured bacterium
Lineage: Bacteria
Description: partial 16S ribosomal RNA
Rfam family: Bacterial small subunit ribosomal RNA
Source: RNAcentral